UGGGGAAUAUUGGACAAUGGGCGCAAGCCUGAUCCAGCAAUACCGCGUGUGUGAAGAAGGCCUUAGGGUUGUAAAGCACUUUCAAUUGGGAGGAAAACCUGCCGGUCAAUACCCGGUAGCUGACAUACCUUA
This 132-nucleotide ribosomal RNA is filed under the name uncultured type I methanotroph. RNAcentral describes it as "partial 16S ribosomal RNA". It matches the Rfam family "Bacterial small subunit ribosomal RNA", at positions 355 to 481 of the family's 1533-position model. Lineage: Bacteria; Pseudomonadati; Pseudomonadota; Gammaproteobacteria; Methylococcales; Methylococcaceae. The record is from RNAcentral.